AGUACCUUCACAUUUACCACUUGAUGUAACACUUGUUAAGUUCAAUAAAAGCCACCAAAACAGCAUUUGUUUUAAAAAUAUAUCUGUUAUAAACUAACAAGACACAGAAAUCAAAAAGUCUUGACAGAGAACGCUCAACCUUUUCCCGAUAGUACCGCUACCAAUAGGUAGCAGUAGCGCUAUGCGCUACGUCGCCUAAAUGCGACCAAUUCUAUUUUUUUUAUCCAUUAGGAUACAUUUCUAAAAAAAUUCGCGAGUGAAGUGGAAACACAGCACACUUGCUUAGCAUACGAGUAACACUAUUUGCAUUCCUAAUGCAAUUUAAGGCUAAAAACCGUGUUGACACGGCCCACAGAGGUUGAAAGCUAAAAAAUUUUGCAUUUCGUGACGUGCAUGACGCAUGCACACUAGGUCGAAUUAUCAUAUUUUGUAUUUUUAUUUUAAAUAAUCUUAAGUAGUGUUUCUGGAGAAGAAAUUCAUCGUUUAUUUUGUAUCCUAUUAAAUCAAAUGACGCCCUAAUUAAAGUUGACCACAAAAAACUGGUGCAAAGGCGCAUAUACAAUCACUGUUCGCAAAUUCGUUGGCAAAGUUUGUUAGAAAUGGGUCAACUUUACAUCAAAAUGCGUGCCACUUCGCACUUCACCUGUGAAUUGCAUUAGAAAUAUAGCUUAAAUAGACUUGUUCUAGACAAUGAUCUCUGUGGGAGAUCUAGGAAUCGCAUAAAAUGCUUCAUAACUAAUAUAUGUAAUAAUAUUAAUAGCAUCCACAACCGUAAGAAAUAGAUAAAACAAUAAAGUGAGAAAACUUUCAACUAAUUAGAAAUGAAAAUGAUGAGAAUAGAAUUGUGGUAUGAAAAAAAAAAUUCUAAGAAUAUGCUGGAUACUAGAACUUGAGAGUGUAAUAAUCAUAGGUAAUAAACAGCUGAUUUACGUCAGAAUAAUAGCCAUGUGAUCUAUUUCAGUGAAACUAAUGCUGCUGAAACUGAGUAUUAUUCAGUACAUCUACAAGUAAGCUUUCAAACAAUAUACAAAAUUUAGAACAUUUGUUGUCUGUUUUGUGAUUCAAUUACGGAACUUUUUUGCAAAUUACUUUUUAAGGUUGCAAAGUGAUAACCCAAUAGCAGCUGAAAGUUAUAAAAAGAGACUUAUAGCUUUAGGUAGAGGUGACCUAUGACUGUUAAAAAAUAUUUUUAUGUAGUGCUAUAUUUUAUUCCUAUUUUGAGUGUGAUGAUGAUGAUGAUUUUUUUAUCAAGGAUAAUUGUAUGCAAAUGACAAAUAAAAGUUCUAUAUAGCUAUA
Molecule: long non-coding RNA, 1296 nt
Organism: Diorhabda carinulata
Lineage: Eukaryota; Metazoa; Arthropoda; Insecta; Coleoptera; Chrysomelidae
Exons: 2
Source: RefSeq, a predicted model, not a curated record